GCCGUUGGCGCCCGACUGGACGGGCACCGGACUUUUAAUCCGGACUGAGGUGGGUUCAAGUCCUCCCGGCGGCA
This 74-nucleotide transfer RNA is filed under the name Actinoplanes sp. SE50/110. Its description in RNAcentral is "tRNA-Lys (TTT) (tRNA-Lys-TTT-2-1)". It matches the Rfam family "tRNA". Rfam says of the family: Transfer RNA (tRNA) molecules are approximately 80 nucleotides in length. Their secondary structure includes four short double-helical elements and three loops (D, anti-codon, and T loops). RNAcentral also lists the same sequence under 1 other name. Lineage: Bacteria; Bacillati; Actinomycetota; Actinomycetes; Micromonosporales; Micromonosporaceae. The record is from Rfam by way of RNAcentral.